GGUUGGUUUGCUUUUAUGAUGAUUCCAAAACACUUUAAACCCAUUCCCUUAAAUUUCGUGAUGUUCUCCAAAGAAAAGCACCUCCUCAAUCGUCAUUAUACCACCCCUCGAUCUCGUUCUUCAAAGUCAUGGUUAACUUUUUCCAAAAAAAAAUACGAGAGAAUCAAUCCAAGAUUUGUCGACCAUCGCCAUGGCGGAACACAAUCUUCAAAACGAAAUUGUAGGUGAAGGAGAUGAAGUGUUUGCUAUCUUUCAGCGUCCAACAGAACACUGGAUCGUCUACAGUGAUGUGGCUGCGUUAUUCAAUCAGCACUUCAAUGGUACUCCUUUCAAUUGGACAUGUGUCCCCUUUUGUGGAAGGUUUGUUCGUGUAUCUGGAUACCAAUUUUGUAGAUCGGUAUGAUUGGAUUCAUGUGCAAUAACAUAGGAGGCUUAAUGUAAAUCCAAGAAUUUAGGGCCCGACAUCGGUUACACGUUUGCUGUGUUCGACACAACAGAGGGUAGGUUCAUGAGGAGAACACACCACCACGGAUUGACCAGAAAUGUAGCUAUCGUUCACUACCGGGUUGUUCCACCUGCGGUUCUCGUCCGCCAAAGAUGAAGCGGCGGAGGCGGAAGAAGUCGGUGAGGAUCCUGUGGUGGAGGAAGAUUUGGAAGUGGCUGAAGGAAGGGAAGUUGAAGGUUCAGAGUCAGAAGGUGAAAUCUGAGUCUGAGGCUGAUGAUCGGGAUAAACAUCCCGACUACAACCCGUACCAACAUGGCUUAGUCGCUUUGGCUAACUUUCUUUCAACUCCACAUGCUGCUAGCGUGCAGGAACAUGUUCUUAUCAGAAAAGUGAUUGAACUACAUGAUAAAUACAUCGUCUAUGAAAUUGGCGCUCAGUGCUCUCAGUUCGUGAAGCGGAGGCUCUGUGAGAAUCUUCUUAGGCAUGGGAGGUUUCGUGAAGACGCUGCAAAGGCUUGUAACACGGCCUUCUUGAGCACGAACUCUCAGUUACAUGUUGAUGUGGUGGAUGAUAGUAUGAGUUGGACAACGGCUAUUAUGGUUAUGGUUAGAGGGAGGACGAUCUACGUGGCGAAUGCUGGUGACUCGAACGGGAGUUUUGGCUGAGAAGAGGGAUGGUGAUCUUGUGGCUGUUGAUUUUUCUAUUGACCAGACUCCAUUUAGAGCUGAUGAGCUUGAAAGGGUGAAGCUUUGUGGACUUAGAGUUCUUACUCUUGAUCAGAUUGAAAGUUUGAAGAAUCCUGAUGUUCAGUGUUAGGGUACUGAGGAGGAUGAUGAUGGAGACCCUUUGACUCCGAGGCUUUGGGUUCCCAAUGUGAUGUAUCCGGGAACUGCGUUUACGAGGAGUAUUGGUGAUUCUAUUGCGGAGACGAUUGGGGUUGUUGCUAAUCUUGAGAAUUAAUGUUGUUGAGCUCAAGCCGGAUAAUCCUUUCUUCCAGAACCACACCCUCUUCCACAAGGCUCUGAAAGAGGCAUUUGAGAUAUUCUGUAACAAAACCGUCGCUGGAAGUUCAAGUGCAGAAUUGCUUGCAGCAUUAUGCGCCAAUAUCCUUAAGAAGAGGGGUAGUGAGAAAUGGGGUCCACAGCUGGACCAAGCAACCUACAAGAAUCGCCAGCAUCUAUAUCUCUCUGAACAAACUGAUGGCAAUGUGCCCAACACUCUUGUCAUAGCCAAUUGUGAAGUUGUUAAGCCAAGAGUCGCUGCAGCUGAGCACAUAUCUCAGUUCAAUGAAAAACACGUUCUCCAUUUGUGAAGAAGUACAAGACCUCAUCAUUCACUCUGGAGAGGUUAACAGAAUCAGGGAACUCUCGCAAAACAGUAAGAUCAUUUCUACUCACACCAAUAGCCCUGAUGUUCUCAUUUGGGUUGUCGAUUUACACUAGAAUGCGCCGGACCCUUGGACUAUUGUCAGUGUUUCUGAUGACUGUGAGAACUGGUGGAGGUGGAACAUUGCAGUGGAGUCUAGCUGAAGCCAAUUUAGUUUCCAAAUGCAAUAAACUUUAGCACCGGAAAUUAUGCUGCAAGCUAAACAAAAUAUCAUCUCUAAUGAUAUUCUCAAUUCAUUAGUCGACACAUCCGCUUUUCGUUUUCAUAUGCUUUUGGUGUUCUAUUUUUUCAACGAAUUAGUGUUUUAAUUUAAAUGUCAUGUUUGUGAUCUUAUGCAGGUCUAAUAGAGACUGGGAUGAUGGCUACAAUCAAAAGAGAUUUUGUGACUUAUAUGUGAGAAACUUUUUUUUUUUUUGUUAGUUAUUUGUUUGCCUAAUUGUUUGCUUAAUUUAAUUGUGUUAUCGUGUUAAUGUAAAUGUCAUGUCUGUUAGUAACCACAUUUACAAAGUGAAUUGUGUCCGCUCACAUAACAAGGAACAAGAAGAGGUUACAGCUUAACCAGAAAAAAGAAAUUGAAA
Long non-coding RNA from Brassica oleracea var. oleracea, 2409 nucleotides. RefSeq lists it as uncharacterized. The transcript is spliced from 8 exons. The record is from RefSeq and is a predicted model, not a curated record. NCBI's taxonomy places the organism in Eukaryota, Viridiplantae, Streptophyta, Magnoliopsida, Brassicales, Brassicaceae.